GACGAACGCUGGCGGCGUGCUUAACACAUGCAAGUCGAACGAAGUGGCGAACGGGUGAGUAACGCGUAAUCAACCUGCCCAUCAGAGGGGGACAACAGUAGGAAACGACUGCUAAUACCGCAUACGGAAGGAGGGGAUUGCGUCUGAUUAGCUAGUGGGGGGGGUAACGGCCCACCAAGGCGAUGAUCAGUAGCCGGUCUGAGAGGAGGGAUGGCCACAUGGGGACUGAGAAACGGCCCAGACUCCUACGGGAGGCAGCAGGGGGGAAUAUUCCGCAAUGGACGGAAGUCUGAAGGAGCAAAGCCGCGUGAGUGAGGACGGCCUUCGGGUUGGAAAGAUCUGUUAAUCGGGACGCGGUACCGGAAUAGAAAGCCACGGCUAACUACGUGCCAGCAGCCGCGGUAAUAC
This 408-nucleotide ribosomal RNA is filed under the name uncultured bacterium. Its description in RNAcentral is "partial 16S ribosomal RNA". It matches the Rfam family "Bacterial small subunit ribosomal RNA", at positions 28 to 526 of the family's 1533-position model. The record is from RNAcentral.